GAGAUGGAUUGGUGCUUCCGGAACGUCUGACACAGGUGCUGCAUGGCUGUCGUCAGCUCGUGUCGUGAGAUGUUGGGUUAAGUCCCGUAACGAGCGCAACCCUUGUCCUUAGUUACCAGCACGUUAUGGUGGGCGACUCUAAGGAGACUGCCGGUGACAAACCGGAGGAAGGUGGGGAGUGACGUCAAGUCAUCAUGGCCCUUACGGCCUGGGCUACACACGUGCUACAAUGGUCGGUACAAAGGGUUGCCAAGCCGCGAGGUGGAGCUAAUCCCAUAAAACCGAUCGUAGUCCGGAUCGCAGUCUGCAACUCGACUGCGUGAAGUCGGAAUCGCUAGUAAUCGUGAAUCAGAAUGUCACGGUGAAUACGUUCCCGGGCCUU
This 382-nucleotide ribosomal RNA is filed under the name uncultured Pseudomonas sp. RNAcentral describes it as "bacterial SSU rRNA". It matches the Rfam family "Bacterial small subunit ribosomal RNA", at positions 1003 to 1382 of the family's 1533-position model. Lineage: Bacteria; Pseudomonadati; Pseudomonadota; Gammaproteobacteria; Pseudomonadales; Pseudomonadaceae. The record is from RNAcentral.